Carya illinoinensis is the source of this 625-nucleotide long non-coding RNA. RefSeq lists it as uncharacterized. NCBI's taxonomy places the organism in Eukaryota, Viridiplantae, Streptophyta, Magnoliopsida, Fagales, Juglandaceae. The transcript has 2 exons. The record is from RefSeq and is a predicted model, not a curated record.
GUUAUAGAAGUUAAUUCGCGGUCCUGAACUGCAAAAUACAGAGACUACAUUAACAAAUAAUCCAAAAUAAAAGGAUGGUUUUGCAAUACAGAGCUUUAUAGGGGUAGAUGAGGCCGUGGUGGUCCAGCUCCUAUAUAAGAAGGGCAAGCUCUCUUGUUUAUACACACAGACGUGGGAGGAAACGAAGUAGGAACUGACGAUGAAAUGAGCAUGGGGAAAGGGAGAUUGGAGUUACUGGAAGUUGUAGGAAUGGGCUGUUUGGGAUGAAUGAAAGUGGAGGUAAAUUUUUGGAUUUAUAGUGUUAAAUUCUUCCCAAAGCCGCGCAUUCCGAUGAUUUCCGGCGGUUCCUCCCUUUCCCUUCUGUGUCUCUCUUUUAGAUUUUAGUACCUUUCUGGGCUUCUGCAUGCCUUGUUGUGUAGCCGGUGUAAGUAGCUACGCAGUUUCCCGAUUCCCCACGGCAGAAAAGGGAAAUGAAUGGAAAGAAUAGUCAUUAAAUCUGGAUAUGUAUAGUAUUUUUUAGAUCUAGGGUUCUCCGUACGUUCUUGUACGCAUACAGUAAAUGAUCUUGUUUGGAUCUUUGUAAUAAUAAGGAAAGAUAACAAGAAAAAAGGGUUUAUGUAACUAA